CGACGCCUGUGGAAAAGCAAAAAUUUACGUCAACAAAAAGAGAUCAGGACUCAUUUACAAAAACAUCAAUAUAUAUAGAUCCAGACGAAAUAAUUACCAUUUCUAAGAUUAACUGUCCGCCGCAAGACAUGAUUUUCUUCAGGCCUCGACUUUGGCGCCUCCUGGAUAUAUGUUAAAAAAAGAAAUUUUAAUAAAUCAAUUUUUUUUUGUAUUAUAUAAGCUCUAAAUAAAAAUUUAAAAAAAAAUUUAUUUUAAUAUAUUAUACAGAACAUGAAAAAAAAAAAUUAUUGAAUAUGUUGUACUUUUUAGCUUUCCAAGGUGGUCAAGUACCUUAAAAUGUCCGAAUCAGACCUUUUUUUUAAGCUACUUGUUUUCUUCUGCAACUUACUGUAUGCUCAUGCGCGCACUUGACGCACAGCAGCUGCGGCUGUCGAGCAUUUAGAAAGACAUAUUUACAUACAUAUAUUUUUGCAUACAUAUGUACGAUGCCGCGGGCACUCGACUUGACAAAAAUUGAAGAUUUAUCAAAUAUUGGCAAAUAAUUCUACGCGAAAUAUUCCAAUAUUGACUAUUUUCGAAUUGUCGAGAAAAUUGGCAUAUGGGCGGCUCGUUUUAUGAAUGAAAGUUCUUGCUCUUAGAACUAACUAUGAGCUCGAAUUUAUCAAUGAAUUUUUUGAAGAUGAGUUUUUGUUGCACAGUACAAUAGUUGAAACUGUUCGGCGCCGCCGCGACUGUUCAGCGCUAUGGCAACUAGAAUGAUGGCCGCUACGCCUGCGUCUAUGACUGCAUUUUGUUCUUGUAGUCGCUAGGCAUAGAAUUUUAGCUUUGAACGACAUACGCAUUUUGAGGAAUAAAGCGAAUGCCCUGUGUGUGCGGUUGCAUGUACAUGCAUAUGUGUAUAUUAAUAAGCAUUGUUUUGCUUGAAUUCAAUAUUUAUAUUUGCAUAUGCCAUCUUCCUGUGUGCCUGGUAAUGAAGCGUUUUGUAUACAGAAUUUUUUGAUUUGUUUGAAGGGAUAUGGGCACCAAGUGUACAUACGCACAUAUAAAUAUGUACAUGAGUAUUCAAAAGAAAUUUGUUUUAGCAUUUGUGAGGCAGGAAUUUGAUCAUUAGGUUAUUUACAUGAAAUAUAAGGCGAUGCUCGUGAGGUAGGUCAUGUUGCUUCAGUGCACACAUAUGCGUGCAACAUAUACAUAUUUAAUAAAGAUGCAAUUGAAUUUAGUUGUCCCAUAUAUGCAAAUACGUUUCUUUGAAGUUUUCCUUUAUUUAUUUUAAAGUUUUAUACUAUCUAGAAAAUGCAUACAUACAAAUGUAUGUAUAUUAUUAUUCCCUGUAAUAAAAUGUAAAUUGAAAAAGAUUUGGUUUGCCAAAGGAACAAAUAAAUGCAUGUUCAAAUGCAAAUACAUAUGUAUGUCGAUAUACCAAAACACUUGUAUGCUAUGAAUUAAUUUCGACUCAAAAAAUUAGUAAAAAUUUUCAUCAAAUUUGUUUAGUUUUAAAUUUACGAAAACGCACAUACCAAAAUGUGAGAGGUCGUUUUAUAAUGUAUUUUUUUAAAUUAAAUCAAAAUAUUAAAGUUACUUUGAUUUGGCGCAUAUAAUAAAUUCAAUCAUUUUUUCUUCAUCACCUUUGUUUGAAAACACAAAUUGAAUAAAUUUUCGUUUACCAAGGGAACAUAAAAAUGCACAAGCAAAUGCCUUGCAAAAUGCCGUCGGCAUUCGUCAAUUUGAUUUCAUACAGAAACCAAAAACUGAGCAGAGCCAAUGUACUUGUACAUAAUUCACUGUAAGCAGCCCUGUUAAGAACUUCCCCGCUGUCGAGUUAAGCGAGGUGAAAUAGUGUUCGCGGUUUCACUUCAUUUUUGACAAUUCACACUAUUCGUAGCUCGUGAGAAUUCUCUAUAUUUAACGUUCUCUGGAAUUAAAAGAUGCGAAAGUCUAAGCAAAAUGGAAUAGGCAAAACAGUAUUACCUGCUAACUUUUUCAGCAAAAGUUUUAAUUUCUACGCUUUUGAGUACUUUUUCUUUAGAAUUUGCUCUGAAAUAAAAAGUAGCUUUUCCAAGAGGACAACACGGAUUUAUUAAGUAGCUUCAAGAUGGCUAACACAGGGUGAAAACUAGGCUACUUACAUCACCUUUAAUUAUUGCUUCAUGGGAACAGUAUGAAUCAUGUAGUCAAAUCGUGUCAGAUCAUGAUUCAAUUAUUAAGGGGAGAUAUACACCUAGAAGGUCGUGAAAAAUCGAUUUUUUUUUUGCAUUUUUCUUAAAGUUUGAGGGCUCUAGAAUAUCUAGUGAAAAGGACAAGGUAAUAUUUCGAUAAAUAAGCUAGUUACAGCCGAGAACGUGAAACUUGAUUUUAUGGGCCGGAGCUGACAGGCAGGUAGAGGCGGUUAGCGACCCUUGUACGAAGCUUCUAAACUUACUCCGGCAUUCUAUUGUGUUGGGUUUUUGGGCAUGCUUGGCUCCAGGUAUGAGGGUAAUAGACACGUUUUGUCAGUACCUUGCCGUUCGUUCAACUAAGCAGUUCAGUGAAUUUUCGUUUCCAAAUAAAUAUUGAGAGAAAAAUGGAUAUAAGAAGUAAAGGUUCUCGAAAAGAUCAUCGAACCGGAUUUUUUCGCAAAGAUCGAAGCAAAAAGAAAAUGCCGCCCAAAAAUCGAUAUUCUGCCGAAAAAAUUUCCAACGAAAAUAUUAGUUCUAGUGCCAAAAAAUUAAAGACUGAUCGUGAGACAUCCGCACCAGAAGAUCCAAACAUCGGGUAUCGAAUUUUGAAUUUUCUGACUGUGUUUGCUGCCUUGUUGGAAUGUGUAAAGUGUAAAAAGUGUAAUAGUGAUGUUCGAUUCUCUAUAGAAAGUACUCGAGGACUUGGUUUUAAGAUUGUAGUUUCUUGUUUGUCGUGCAAACCGACUUUCAUCCCUUCGUGCCCGUACAUCAACACAGCUUACGAAAUAAAUACACGAUUUUUUUUUGUCUUGCGUUUAUUGGGGAUUGGUUUGCGUGGAGCUAUGAAAUUUUGUGGACUCAUGGAUUUACCGCCUCCGCUUCAACAAUCGACGUAUGAUAUGAUUAUUAAUAACAUUCAUUCUGCUGCUUCUAAUAUUGCUCAAUUGGUGUUAAAACAAGCUGUAAAAGAAGAACAACAGGAAAUAAAAAAAGAAGAUUCCAGUGCUGAUUUAAGAAAACUGUUCGUUUCAGGAGAUGGUACGUGGCGAAAACGUGGUUUUACCUCAUUAUAUGGAGUUGCGGUUCUUAUUGGUCAGUUUACAGGAAAAGUCGUUGAUUUUCUUGUUAAAUCUUCUUAUUGUGCUGAAUGUAAUUAUUGGAAUAAACACAAAAAUACCGAGCAAUAUGAGGCAUGGAAAUCCAAUCACGAUCAAAAUUGUCAGAUCAAUCAUGAAGGAUCAGCAGGUAAAAUGGAAGUAGACGCCAUGAUAGAAUUAUUUUCAAGAUCUGUUGAAAAGCAUGGAGUGAUGUACACUAAUUACGUGGGGGAUGGCGACUCCAAGACGUACACGGGAAUAGUAAAUGGAAAACCUUAUGGUAAUCGGGCUGAAAUUGUAAAAAAAGAAUGCGUAGGACAUGUGCAAAAGCGAAUGGGCACCCGUCUUCGCGCAUGUAAAAAAGACAAUCCUGGAAUUGGCGGAAGAAAUAAAUUGACACUAAAACUGAUAGAUAAACUAAGCGUUUAUUAUGGUUUAGCUAUUCGCAGAAAUUGUCACUCCAAAGACGAUAUGAAAAAAGCGAUAUGGGCAACAUUUUAUCAUUACAGCUCAACAGAUAGAAAGCCGAAACAUCACUUCUGUCCCGAGGGCCGCGAAUCCUGGUGCAAGUGGCAACAAGCGAAAGCUAAAAAUGAAUUGAAAAAUUUCCUCCACGAUUAUACUGAAUUGCCAAAAAUAGUGUUAGAUGCCAUCAAACCGAUCUACAAUGAUCUCAGCAAUGACAAAUUGUUGGAACGCUGUGUUGGCGGAUUUACGCAAAAUUCAAAUGAGAGCUUCAACCAAUUGAUUUGGAAGAUAGCUCCAAAAACGAUGAACAGCGGGGCCAAAAUCGUCAAUAUUGCUGUAUUUCUGGCAUCAGCACAUUCAAUAAUGAUGUCACCUCAUUAUUAGAAAUUAUGAACGUGUUGGGAAUAUCUGUUGGACCAGGAGCGCACUUGUUCGCUGCGCAAGAAGACGAAACUCGCAUAGCGAAAGCCGAGCUGCGAUCGCAGGAGACUACAAAAGAAGGUCGUAUACGGCGAAGACAAGAAAAUUUGGAAGCCCUGGACAUUCCGUCCACUGUAGAGGACCUGCACUAUGGGCCUGGUAUCGAUGAUUGCAUAUGAUUUUUGGAGAAACGCCAUUGGGUACCGCGGAGGCUGAUUUUUUCAAGGACUUCCAAGGAUUCUACAUUAUCCUUUACAAUUCUUAUUAUUUUAAGCUAAAACAAAUUUAACACAUUUUUGAAUAUAUGUACUUUUAGAUAAAUAAAACCCCAAUCAUACAUUUUAAAUAGUUUCCUUUGAAAAAAAUUCAUAAAAAUGACCUUUUUUCCGGCUUUUAGGUGUAUAUCUCCCCUUAAAGGUUUGCUCACUAGUGACAUUCGAUUUUUGACACUCCCUUACAAAAGGUUGUAUUUAAGAAGGAAAAAAUUAAAUCCUUUUUGGGAGAAAUGGUAGCAAAAUAGUAUUUUGUUACUUAAAUGGAAACAAACUGCGAACGGUUUAAAAAAUAAAUUUUAAUUAAUAUUUGAAUGUAAAUAAUGGUAUAGAUAGAAGUGAUUAGCGGAAAUUGCCAAGUCUAAUAUUAAAACAAGAAAUUAUUUCACAUAAUCCAAGAUUUUCUUUUGUGAAUUAAUUUUUAAAAUUUAAAACCAAUCGCAACGUUUCGCCAAUAUGAAACUAUUUUGUUAAAAAUAAAUAAAUAAUUGGCACGUACAAUUUCGUACAAUUUGUUUCGCCGAGAUCCUCCUCUUAUUUGUAGCGCGCGUUUCACAAUUGGAAGCCGAUUCCGGUAGAUGGUUUUUUAUGAGAAGCUCUUUCAUACUGGUACUGUGCUUUUCUAAGCCUCCUGUGGACACUUCAUCCAUCCAUAGGAAGGUGGGCUCAUUGGAAACAAGUUCUGCCAACUUUUUUAUAAUGAGUUCUGCAAUGUAAUCGAUUGCGUCGGGACUAUUCAAUAAUUCUCCCUGCUGUAACUCUUUAGCAAAUGCUAGCUCUUUGCAAAACAUGAGUUCUGUUUAAAUCACCACAUCAUAAGAAAUAAAGCUUUGUAAAUUCUCCAUCUCGAUCUAGGAUUGUGUCAAAUACUCUAUUAUGUCCUGACUUAAGCGGUAUCUAUUUCAUGUCAUACUACCAUAGUCCUGAACAUACCGAUAAAAACUCUUGAGCGAGUUGUUGCUCGUAAGCAGUCCAUUUUGAAAAUGAAAUGUUUUUUCUACAAAUUUUACUUUUCCUCCACUUUUAGUCAAAAUUUCUAGAGCUAGCAACCCAGUGUCUUGCUAAGGGAGCCGAUUUGUCAAGAGGGAAUGAGAAAGCUGCUUACUGAGCAAACCUUUUUAUUAUUGAAUGGUGUCAGAUGAUGUGUUGUGUGUGUGUUGUUGUUGGAUUGACCUCCAUUUUGAUUUUCACCUACCCGUUUCUGUAUCUAUACUACACACAUUUGUAUAGCUACAUAACACAUCGGUCAAUAAGUCCCCGGUCUGACAUAUAGAGGGCGCCACUAACAUAAAAUUAGCUUUAUGGUUCGAAAGAACAUACCCUUUUAGGUAUACUGUCAAAUUUGUAUGUCAUUCGGAUCAUUAUUGUGUGAGUUAUUGAAGCUUUAGUGACGCUACUUUUGUUAU
Molecule: RNA transcript, 5819 nt
Organism: Anastrepha ludens (Mexican fruit fly)
Lineage: Eukaryota; Metazoa; Arthropoda; Insecta; Diptera; Tephritidae
Gene: Rm62
Gene name: ATP-dependent RNA helicase p62
Exons: 3
Source: RefSeq, a predicted model, not a curated record